GCGCUUGUAGCUCAGAUGGAUAGAGUGCAACCCUCCGAAGGUUGAGGUCAUGCGUUCGACUCGCAUCAAGCGCGCCA
Molecule: transfer RNA, 77 nt
Filed under: Erysipelotrichia bacterium
Lineage: Bacteria; Bacillati; Bacillota; Erysipelotrichia
Description: tRNA-Arg
Source: RNAcentral